GGGUAAGAUUGCAAUGUGCAACACACCGGCAGAGCGCGGUGGCCGUGCCGGCCCCGGGAGCCCCGCGCCGCCAGCGGGGCCGGUGGGUGCCCCGUGCCCGCCGAUGCCCCGGCUCUGCCCGGUCACGGCCUCGCUGCUGCUGGGCACGGCCAGGGCAGCGUGCGACGAGGAGCUGCUGUUGCGGGAGGGGGUGACCCUGUGCGUGAAUGUCACCCGGCAGCAGCCCUUCCCCUCGCUGCGCGGCCUCCGCGCCAUCCGCGUGCCCGUGUUCGAUGACCCGGCCGAGGACCUGGCCCGCUACUUCGAGCCCUGCGGCGCCGCCAUCGAGGCGGCCGUGAGGGCCGGGGGCCGCUGCCUCGUGUACUGCAAGAACGGCCGCAGCCGCUCCGCCGCCAUCUGCACCGCUUAUCUCAUGAGGCACCGGCGGCUCCCGCUCAAGGACGCCUUUGAGGCUGUGAAAACUGCCAGACCCGUAGCAGAGCCAAAUGCAGGAUUUUGGUCUCAGCUGCAGAGAUAUGAAGAAGAAUUGAAGAUACCAAAGCACUCUGAUCCGCUGAGCAAAGGACUUGAAAAUAGCAAUGUGUGAAGAUACUUUAAAGAAAGUGAAGUGACUUGCUACAGAGUUAAAAAAAUGGAAAAAAAAAUCACUUCCUAAAUCACCUGUAGGUAAAACAUUUUACCCCCAUAACUGAGAUGAUGGUUCAUUAAAUUCAUGCAGAGCAUUUCUGUUGGUAAUGCAUGGAAAGAGGGCAGAUAAGCAGGGAAUAACAGCAGAAACAGAAAAUGGUUGGAAGGACUGUAAACAGAGAAAGGCCUGGAAUCUUCAGCAGUUAUUUCCCCCUGAAUGACACUGAGUAUGGUAACAAUGUACUGAACAAAGGAAGGAGUUACCACACAGGGAUUUUAUUCCUGGUUUUUAAUUAAACUUCCCAGUGAUGCCAUUAGAAGACAUGAUGCCAGACCAAGGAAGUUCUGAAUUUCUCUCUCAUCUACUGGAUCAUUAUUCAUGUUAAUGAGCUGACACAGCCUUUGGUGGGAAACUGACAGUGGUUGAUGCUUUGUCUCUGUGAUUUUUCUUAUGUUCAACAAGAACAAAGCACCUUCAAAAUUACCUAAAAAUCCAGAGGACAGAAUAUACAGUAAUGGCAUUUCAGCCAAGGCCUCAAGCAGAAGCCCUCAGCACCUUUGUACAAGCUGCAGGUUUUCAUACAGCAGUCAAGAUGACAAAGAAAGAAAACAGAAGUACCUUCACCCUACCCCUUCAGCUGUCAUUCAUCAUGUUGAACUUCUGUUUCAUAGAUCAGUUGUACCUGAUUUUCAGGACAUUUCAAGGCAUUUGGUACUUUGUAACAAAGUAAGGUGAGCAAGAUUUAAAGUCCAAUGGGGCUGAUGAAAUAUUACCAUAAAAUUGAAAUGGUUUCAGAUUAGGCAAUGGAGUACCAGAGGAACUCUCAUUUACAACAUUUUGAUAUCAAUUUCCUAAGAUUAAAUAGACCAACAGUGAAUAUGCUUCCUCCUUGCAUAUUAUAACCCUCUCAAGCUCAGCUAGUACAACCUCCAAGCUAUUUGAGCUCUGGCAGACAUGGACCUCUGCUAUUUCUGCCUCUUUCCUCCCUCUCCUUCAAAAAGAGGCCUUCUGUAGGUGUCAAAAUUUAAGACUGAAACAAGAAAGGAGGGAAGGUUAAAUAUUGAGGCCAGAAAUCUCACCUUUCCUGAUGUGAUGUGCAACAAGACACUUCUAUAAAGAACAAGAAAAGAACCAUGUUUCUAGUGAUCAAUUCCAUGUGCUUUGGGAAAUGCCUUUAUACUUUCUGCAGACUGAACAGUGAAUAUUUUACUCACAGUGAGUACUGCAAACAAACUGGAU
RNA transcript from Melospiza georgiana, 1867 nucleotides. It is a transcript of the gene named dual specificity phosphatase 28, with no coding region annotated. The transcript is spliced from 3 exons. The record is from RefSeq and is a predicted model, not a curated record. Lineage: Eukaryota; Metazoa; Chordata; Aves; Passeriformes; Passerellidae.